UUGCCCCUACGGGAGGCAGCAGUGAGGAAUAUUGCGCAAUGGAGGAAACUCUGACGCAGUGACGCCGCGUAUAGGAAGAAGGUUUUCGGAUUGUAAACUAUUGUCGUGAGGGAAGAAAUUGACAGUACCUCGGGAGGAAGCUCCGGCUAACUAUGUGCCAGCAGCCGCGGUAAUACAUAGGGAGCAAGCGUUAUCCGGAUUUAUUGGGUGUAAAGGGUGCGUAGACGGGAAAUUAAGUUAGUUGUGAAAUCCCUCGGCUUAACUGAGGAACUGCAACUAAAACUGGUUUUCUUGAGUACUGGAGA
RNAcentral lists this ribosomal RNA (305 nucleotides) under uncultured bacterium. RNAcentral describes it as "bacterial SSU rRNA". It matches the Rfam family "Bacterial small subunit ribosomal RNA", at positions 333 to 655 of the family's 1533-position model. The record is from RNAcentral.